Molecule: RNA transcript, 1491 nt
Organism: Bubalus bubalis (water buffalo)
Lineage: Eukaryota; Metazoa; Chordata; Mammalia; Artiodactyla; Bovidae
Gene name: ATP-binding cassette sub-family A member 13
Exons: 4
Source: RefSeq, a predicted model, not a curated record
CCAACAAAUAAAAGAACAUUUAAAUUUUUAUUUAUGUAUUGGUCUCCUGCACAGCAAUGUGAAAUCUUAGUCCACAACCAGGGGUGGAACUUGCACCCUCUGCGUUUGAAACCCAGAACCCUAUCUACUGUACCACCAGGGAAGUCCUCUAGAAUACCGUUUUAAAAUGAUGUUCUUUUAAAAAAUAGGUUUGUAGGAUAAUUGACUCUGCUGAAGCCUGUGCCCUUUGCUGUUGCAAAGCCCACUGAUAAAGCGUUGGUAGCUUGAGACAAUGGUUUUAUGAAAUGGAAGACCACAGGAAUCUGGUUGCCUGACAUCCUCCUGACCACAACACCAAGUCCACAGGAACCCAGGAGCCUUGGCCACUAGGAGGAUGGAGCAAGUGCUGCCCAGCUGAAAUCUCCAGCUGGUUAGGAAGCUAAAGGUGUGGGGAAAUCAGCCGGGCUGCGGAGCUUGCUGGUUCUCACUGCUCUCCACGGCGUGCCCAGAGCUCUGUCGGUUGCUUUUCUCCAGGGGCAGCGAUAAAUUACAGAUGGGAGAGCAUAGGGGGUUUACUCACAGAACCAGGAGAGGUCAGCCAGGCUCCCUGCGCUUUUGGGGGAAAACAGAUGAAACACAUGGAUUAAGCGGGGCGUGACAGCUCAGCGGAACUUGAAGCAUGUUCUUUCCAUCCCCCGGAGACCAACACUGCUUCCCUCGGUCCUCCCAUCUCUUUCCCACUGAUGAUCUGCCACCGGGCGUCCUAAAUGGAGCCUGUUGUGGAUUGGUGUGAUAGCGGGGGUUUCAGGGGCGGGCAGGGGUUACUCCAUCCGGUUAACAUCAAGGGGAAAAGGGGCAGCGCUAAUGUGAGCAUUGCUCCUGGCCCUGCGCUCCGCAGCUGCGUGGGUGCUUGGAAGUGCGCGUGCCUACAGGGCCCGGAGGCUGCCUCUGCAGCCCCACUCUCCCCGACGCUGGACUGAGUGAGAAGGUGCUCUCCCUGGCUGAAUUCUUCUGGCCUUGUAUCCUGUUCAUGAUUCUGACAGUACUUCGUUUUCAAGAACCUCCCAGACACAGAGACAAUUGCUAUUUGCAACCCCGGGAUCUGCCCAGCCGGGGUGUGUUCCCCUUUGUCCAAGGCCUUCUUUGCAACACCGGGUCGAGGUGCAGGAACACAAGCUAUGAAGGGGCUAUGGAGCAGCGUUUUCGGCCACUCCGCGCCCUCACCUCCACUUGCGGACACCAGAUGGUCACGCAGCCUGCAGAGACCUCUCCCCACAUCCUGAGAACCACAGUACUUUUCAGAGCCUUGGACGCUGAUGAGCAGGAAAGAAGUCCAUCCCGGUGCUGGGCUCUGUCCUCGGACCUGCCCCCUCCACUCAGAGGCUCUCACUGUUUUCAUGUUGGUCCAGGAUGAAUUCAGUGGACUCCCAAAACCAUAAUUAAAAAUUUACUUCUGAUCACUUUUUGAGAAUUGUCUCAGAUUAUGAAUAUCUGAAAGCAAAAUUUAAAUCU